Molecule: unclassified non-coding RNA, 240 nt
Filed under: soil metagenome
Description: partial contains 5.8S ribosomal RNA, internal transcribed spacer 2, and large subunit ribosomal RNA
Source: RNAcentral
AAGACUAUAGACCUGCGGAGUACCUGCGGAAGGAUCAUUAACGUAUCUAUGAUGGGGUGCGGAGCGCCCUGCUCCGGUCGAACGGCCGUGCAGCGGGUGCGCCGCCCCCGUCCCACCUCACAAACCCACUGUGAACAUUCACCGGUGGGGGGGGCUCGGUCUGCGCCGUGUCCCCGAUGCCGAAUACCCAAACUCCAGUUGCAAAGAACGUCGUGCGGACUCGGUGCCGCCUAAAACAUG